Long non-coding RNA from Lactuca sativa (garden lettuce), 1062 nucleotides. RefSeq lists it as uncharacterized. Lineage: Eukaryota; Viridiplantae; Streptophyta; Magnoliopsida; Asterales; Asteraceae. The record is from RefSeq and is a predicted model, not a curated record.
AAUGUUGUAGUAGGGGGGUUAUUUUGUUAAUUCAUCAAAGUUGAAAGAAAAUUUGGGCUUUUUGUGCGCGUUGUCAUUCGUUGAUCGGGCAAAGGAAAAGAGGGAUACGAAGGAGCGAAACAGAUGAAAGAAGACGGCGAGAGGGAAGCACGAAGGCUCGCAGGCGGCACGGUCGAUCGAUCACGAGAAGAAGGCCGUCUCCGGGGGACGACGAGGCCGAAGAAUGAAGGGAGAAGCAGCAAGGCUGCUUUUGUUCUCGUCCGUCUGCGAGGUGCGAAGGAAAAACUGUCCGAUGGGAGUCCGGUAACGCGUCGCGAGCAGCAGCAGGGACGAAGACGAGAUCCUCGCAGGUCGUUGGUCGACAGGAAGAAGAAAGAGAGAGCGAGGGAGAAGAGGGGUUCGGUAGAACAAGGCACGCAGGUGGGGGCUUCGGUGGUGUUUGCUCGAUGAAAGAAGAAGAGAAGGAUGCGAAAUUGAGUUUCAGAUGGAGGGAAUCGAAAGGAGCAGCCUGGCUUAAGACGAAAUCUGCGAAGGAGUGGAAGUGAAGGUCGAUCUGAGUUAGAAAACAACGAAGGCUAAAGGUGGCGAUGGUGGGAGGCUGCCAUGAAGUCGAUGGAGGUUUUGCGCCGGCGGUUGCAGGAGGAAAAAGGAAGACAUCAGUGGGUUUUUUUUGGCUUUGUUGUGAUCGACAGGAAGGAGGGAAAAGAAAUGAGGCCGUUCUUAUUGUUUGCAGGUACUCACGAGAACAAGAACAAAAAGGUUCUUGACUGGAAACGAAGACGCAGGCAGAAAAUAAAGAAAAGAUAAAUCUUCAGUUUAAGAUUUCAAUUGUUGUUGGUUGUUUGUGGAUCAAACAUUUGUGAUCAGUUGUUGAUUUUUAACAAUGUGGGGGUUGUGUUUGAGUGGGGUAUUGGACUAUUGGUUGAAGGAAGAGUGGAAGAAAGCUUGAGAAAUGACAACACAUUUCUUUAUGUGUGUAAUUUUAGAUUUGUAAGAAUGAAUAGUUGUCAUUUAAUACGUGUAUUUUGUGUGAAAUUUGUAAAUAAUGAAUUUUCCCGUGUA